RNAcentral lists this ribosomal RNA (438 nucleotides) under uncultured bacterium. RNAcentral describes it as "bacterial SSU rRNA". It matches the Rfam family "Bacterial small subunit ribosomal RNA", at positions 958 to 1397 of the family's 1533-position model. The record is from RNAcentral.
AACGCGAAGAACCUUACCUGGGUUUGACAUGUGCCGGACAGCCUCAGAGAUGGGGUUUCCGUAAGGUCGGUGCACAGGUGGUGCAUGGCUGUCGUCAGCUCGUGUCGUGAGAUGUUGGGUUAAGUCCCGCAACGAGCGCAACCCUCGUUCCAUGUUGCCAGCGCGUAAUGGCGGGGACUCAUGGGAGACUGCCGGGGUCAACUCGGAGGAAGGUGGGGAUGAGGUCAAGUCAUCAUGCCCCUUAUGUCCAGGGCUUCACACAUGCUACAAUGGCCGGUACAGAGGGCUGCGAGACCGUGAGGUGGAGCGAAUCUCUUAAAGCCGGUCUCAGUUCGGAUCGGGGUCUGCAACUCGACCCCGUGAAGUUGGAGUCGCUAGUAAUCGCAGAUCAGCAACGCUGCGGUGAAUACGUUCCCGGGCCUUGUACACACCGGCUAC